This is a long non-coding RNA of Capra hircus (goat), 893 nucleotides long. RefSeq lists it as uncharacterized. The record is from RefSeq and is a predicted model, not a curated record. Lineage: Eukaryota; Metazoa; Chordata; Mammalia; Artiodactyla; Bovidae. The transcript has 2 exons.
AUUAAAGUCUGACACUGUUUCCACUGUUUCCCCAUCUAUUUGCCAUGAAGUGAUGGGACCAGAUGCCAUGAUCUUAGUUUUCUGAAUGUUGUGUAUAAUGCAGAUCUAUUUUCAGCUUGUCGCUGAGAAUGUCACACAUAAGAUGUGAUCACACCUGAACAUUUUCUAAUGGUUUUCCUUCCUAUAGAAGGCCAAAGCAAACAAAUUAGUGUGAUGUGACUUGCAUUCAGGUGCACUCUGUAUAGGCUUCCCAAUAACAUUGCUAAACACCUUUCCCUACUUUCCAUUUGUACACAUCUAAACACCUUAUUGGGAAAAACUACAAAGCUUUCAAAAACAUAAACAGGCUUGUGUUGUUUUUGUUAAGCAAGUUGACAUAUUCAACAUAGGAAUACUUUUGUAAAACUUCUACAGUAAGUUUUCAUAUCACAAUUUAGAACUUAUAGCCAAAGAUCCUCAAAACUUAAGACACAGGUGAAAUUUCAUCUUAGGAUGGUGCUUGAUACAUCAAAGAAAAAUAGUCCAAUAACAUGGAAGAUAUGUCUCAUCAAAACUGUGAUUCAGUAUUUUUGGAUAAUAGGAAAAGGUGAUAUCAAACUUAUAAAAUUAGAUCUGAUCAUCAUAGAGAAAUGUUCAUUAUGUAGCGCAGCAUGUCAAAGGCCUAGGUUCUAGUCCUGGCUCCAUCACUAACCAACUGUGUGACCUUAUUUCACCCAUGAGCCUUGUUCUCAUUAGUAAUAGGAAACUGACACCAACCCUGCCUACCUCACAGGGAUGUUGUGAAGGUUUAAUUGGUAUAUGUUAAAGUUCUUUCAAAAUUGUAAAAAUGCUAUAUAACUCUGAGGAAUUGUUAACAUAUUUGUUCUAAGAUUAUUAAUAAAAAAUUGAACUUA